AUAACAGUUAGAAAUGACUGCUAAUACCGCAUAAGACCACAGCACCGCAUGGUGCAGGGGUAAAAACUCCGGUGGUAUGAGAUGGACCCGCGUCUGAUUAGGUAGUUGGUGGGGUAACGGCCUACCAAGCCGACGAUCAGUAGCCGACCUGAGAGGGUGACCGGCCACAUUGGGACUGAGACACGGCCCAAACUCCUACGGGAGGCAGCAGUGGGGAAUAUUGCACAAUGGGGGAAACCCUGAUGCAGCGACGCCGCGUGAGCGAUGAAGUAUUUCGGUAUGUAAAGCUCUAUCAGCAGGGAAGAAAAUGACGGUACCUGACUAAGAAGCACCGGCUAAAUACGUGCCAGCAGCCGCGGUAAUACGUAGGGGGCAAGCGUUAUCCGGAUUUACUGGGUGUAAAGGGAGCGUAGACGGAUGGACAAGUCUGAUGUGAAAGGCUGGGGCUCAACCCCGGGACUGCAUUGGAAACUGCCCGUCUUGAGUGCCGGAGAGGUAAGCGGAAUUCCUAGUGUAGCGGUGAAAUGCGUAGAUAUUAGGAGGAACACCAGUGGCGAAGGCGGCUUACUGGACGGUAACUGACGUUGAGGCUCGAAAGCGUGGGGAGCAAACAGGAUUAGAUACCCUGGUAGUCCACGCGGUAAACGAUGAAUGCUAGGUGUCG
Molecule: ribosomal RNA, 664 nt
Filed under: uncultured Lachnospiraceae bacterium
Lineage: Bacteria; Bacillati; Bacillota; Clostridia; Lachnospirales; Lachnospiraceae
Description: bacterial SSU rRNA
Rfam family: Bacterial small subunit ribosomal RNA
Source: RNAcentral